UAUGUGAUCGUCUCUCGCAUAUCAAUAAGCGGAGGAAAAGAAACUAACAAGGAUUCCCCUAGUAACGGCGAGUGAAGCGGGAAGAGCUCAAAUUUGAAAUCUUAAAGGGUUUCCCAUUACGAAUUGUAGUUUAAAGAAGUGUUUUCUGUUGAGGUUUUGGUAAAAGUUCUUUGGAAUAGGACAUCAUAGAGGGUGAGAAUCCCGUAUUUGACCUUUACUUUCAACUUUGUGAUACACUUUCAAAGAGUCGGAUUGUUUGGGAAUGCAGUCCAAAAUGGGUGGUAAAUUUCAUCUAAAGCUAAAUAUUGGCGAGAGACCGAUAGCGAACAAGUACCGUGAGGGAAAGAUGAAAAGAACUUUGAAAAGAGAGUUAAACAGUACGUGAAAUUGUCAAAAGGGAAGCGUUUGACACCAGUGUUGUUUUUCUGAAAAUCAAUUAAAGAACUGUUUAUGCUAAGCUGUUUAGACUUUAUCAGCUAAUCUGUUUAGUUUUGAGCUUUUCUUUAAUGCACUUUUCAGUUAAUAAGUCAACAUCAAUUUCUUUUGCUGUAAAAAAGCUUGAGGAAGGUGGCUUGAGAUUCGUCUUAAGUGUUUAUAGCCUCUUGCCUAUGCAGUCGGAGAGAUUGAGGUCUGCAGCGUAGAUCCUUCGGGGCUAAAUGCAUUUGUGCUAAGUUAUAGCAUUUUAUAGACAACUUGUUGACUAUGAUUUGUCUUGUAGCUUACUCGCUUAUGUUAUUUUACCUACGCUUAGGAUGUUGAUCUACAGAGCGAGAGU
RNAcentral lists this ribosomal RNA (775 nucleotides) under uncultured Neocallimastigales. RNAcentral's name for it is "partial large subunit ribosomal RNA". It matches the Rfam family "Eukaryotic large subunit ribosomal RNA", at positions 24 to 635 of the family's 3401-position model. The record is from RNAcentral. Lineage: Eukaryota; Fungi; Neocallimastigomycota; Neocallimastigomycetes; Neocallimastigales.